Molecule: ribosomal RNA, 253 nt
Filed under: uncultured bacterium
Lineage: Bacteria
Description: partial 16S ribosomal RNA
Rfam family: Bacterial small subunit ribosomal RNA
Source: RNAcentral
UACGUAGGUGGCGAGCGUUGUCCGGAUUUACUGGGCGUAAAGGGAGCGUAGGCGGACUUUUAAGUGAGAUGUGAAAUACUCGGGCUCAACUUGAGUGCUGCAUUUCAAACUGGAAGUCUAGAGUGCAGGAGAGGAGAAUGGAAUUCCUAGUGUAGCGGUGAAAUGCGUAGAGAUUAGGAAGAACACCAGUGGCGAAGGCGAUUCUCUGGACUGUAACUGACGCUGAGGCUCGAAAGCGUGAGGAGCAAACAGG